AGCGAACGCUGGCGGCAGGCUUAACACAUGCAAGUCGAGCGGGCAUCCUUGUGGUGUCAGCGGCAGACGGGUGAGUAACGCGUGGGAACGUGCCCUUCGGUUCGGAAUAACUCAGGGAAACUUGAGCUAAUACCGGAUACGUGCGAGAGCAGAAAGGUUUAUCUGCCGAAGGAUCGGCCCGCGUCUGAUUAGCUAGUUGGUGAGGUUAUGGCUCACCAAGGCGGCGAUCAGUAGCUGGUCUGAGAGGAUGAUCAGCCACACUGGGACUGAGACACGGCCCAGACUCCUACGGGAGGCAGCAGUGGGGAAUAUUGGACAAUGGGGGCAACCCUGAUACAGCCAUGCCGCGUGAGUGAUGACGGCCUUAGGGUUGUAAAGCUCUUUUCUCCGGGACGAUAAUGACGGUACCGGAGGAAUAAGCCCCGGCUAACUUCGUG
Molecule: ribosomal RNA, 437 nt
Filed under: uncultured bacterium
Lineage: Bacteria
Description: partial 16S ribosomal RNA
Rfam family: Bacterial small subunit ribosomal RNA
Source: RNAcentral